GUUGGUUAUUGCGAAGUGCCGUGGCUGCCGGCGGGCGCUGCGGGACUCUCUGCAAUGGGACCCGAGCAGCUCUAGAGGGAGGCGGCGGCCCCAGAAGGCCGUUGGCUGAGAGAGACCAGGAGCCCUCGGAGCCGCCGCGCGCAUAGCGCUGUGGAGCAAGAAGCCAACCGCAGCGCGGGUCGACACGCCAGUAUCUGGCACCGGCAGGAGGCGCGGAACUUAGCUGCCCCAUCGGAACCCCGCCCGGAGGAAGCUGAGGGCCGAGAAAGGAUGAAUUCCGGACCGGGUCGCCCAGCCACAAGUGGAAACCUGGGCUCUCUGGAAAACGUUCUGAUCUCGAUCUGGCUAUCUCUGAAACAAAACUCCAGCCCCGCAAACCUCCCAAAGUUCAGUACACGUCCCCGUCCUCACCCCUGCCCUCCGGGCCACCUGCAGCGGGGGACUUACCGGCGCCUCGGGUCUCCUCCUCCCGACCCAGCGCGUCGCGGACACAGCUGGCGGCCAACAGGAGGCUUGGGCGCUCGACGGCGCCGGAACCUGUGAGACCGUCGCUCUGGGCGGGCUGCCGUGCGGGGUGGCAUCCUCUGCGGUGACUUCUGCUGUCUUUUGGGUCCGCCAGGAUUCCAAAAUCCCAGGCGGGUCGCUAGAAUUAUCCAUCUUCGUGGACAGGAAGCCCCAGAACGAACCACAUCUGUCCCACUCUGCUUCCGCCCUCCUUCCCCUUCGCAAGCUCCUGGCUGGGAUGGAGACAUCGGACGAGCUCGGAGAUCCCGACCUCUCAGGGGUCACUCGCAGCCGAACAGCCUGGAAUAUGGCCUUGUGGGCCCUUCCCGCCCAACCCCCUAGGACCCCACUGCUCAUCUUGUCAACCAGUUUCUGAGCCCCUACCCUGGCUGCAGCACGUGCUCGCACAGGCGCGCUGAGCUACUAACAUAGAAUCAAAAGCAGGGAGUUGGGUGUUCUUGCUUUCCCGCUGAAACCUAGAAUGUAAACAAGCCCUAGACCGUCAGCUGUGGUCAUUGGUUUAUUCUUCACAGCAC
RNAcentral lists this long non-coding RNA (1040 nucleotides) under Homo sapiens (human). RNAcentral describes it as "non-protein coding lnc-LMNB1-3:2". Lineage: Eukaryota; Metazoa; Chordata; Mammalia; Primates; Hominidae. The record is from RNAcentral.